CCUACGGGUGGCAGCAGUCGGGAAUCUUGCUCAAUGGGGGAAACCCUGAAGCAGCGACGCCGCGUGGGGGAUUGAGGUUUUCGGAUUGUAAACUCCUUUUGUUAGGGAAGAUAAUGACGGUAUCUAACGAAUAAGCACCGGCUAACUCCGUACCAGCAGCCGCGGUAAUACGGAGGGUGCAAGCGUUACUCGGAAUCACUGGGCGUAAAGAUCGCGUGUGCGGGGUAGCAAGUCAGAUGUGAAAUCCUCUGGCUUAACCAUAGAACUGCAUUUGAACCUGUUAUUCUAGAGUAUUGGAGAGGUAGGCGGAAUUCUUGGUGUAGGGGUAAAAUCCGUAGAGAUCAAGAGGAAUACUCAUGGCGAAGGCGAGCUGCUAGAACAUAACUGACGCUGAGGCGCGAAAGCGUGGGGAGCAAACAGGAUUAGAUACCCGUGUAGUC
RNAcentral lists this ribosomal RNA (440 nucleotides) under uncultured bacterium. RNAcentral describes it as "partial 16S ribosomal RNA". It matches the Rfam family "Bacterial small subunit ribosomal RNA", at positions 338 to 795 of the family's 1533-position model. The record is from RNAcentral.